This 2144-nucleotide ribosomal RNA is filed under the name Salmonella enterica subsp. enterica serovar Enteritidis. RNAcentral describes it as "partial 23S ribosomal RNA". It matches the Rfam family "Bacterial large subunit ribosomal RNA", at positions 751 to 2871 of the family's 2925-position model. Lineage: Bacteria; Pseudomonadati; Pseudomonadota; Gammaproteobacteria; Enterobacterales; Enterobacteriaceae. The record is from RNAcentral.
GUUGGGUAACACUAACUGGAGGACCGAACCGACUAAUGUUGAAAAAUUAGCGGAUGACCUGUGGCUGGGGGUGAAAGGCCAAUCAAACCGGGAGAUAGCUGGUUCUCCCCGAAAGCUAUUUAGGUAGCGCCUCGUGAAUUCAUCUCCGGGGGUAGAGCACUGUUUCGGCUAGGGGGCCAUCCCGGCUUACCAACCCGAUGCAAACUGCGAAUACCGGAGAAUGUUAUCACGGGAGACACACGGCGGGUGCUAACGUCCGUCGUGAAGAGGGAAACAACCCAGACCGCCAGCUAAGGUCCCAAAGUCAUGGUUAAGUGGGAAACGAUGUGGGAAGGCCCAGACAGCCAGGAUGUUGGCUUAGAAGCAGCCAUCAUUUAAAGAAAGCGUAAUAGCUCACUGGUCGAGUCGGCCUGCGCGGAAGAUGUAACGGGGCUAAACCAUGCACCGAAGCUGCGGCAGCGACACUGUGUGUUGUUGGGUAGGGGAGCGUUCUGUAAGCCUGUGAAGGUGUGUCGUGAGGCAUGCUGGAGGUAUCAGAAGUGCGAAUGCUGACAUAAGUAACGAUAAAGCGGGUGAAAAGCCCGCUCGCCGGAAGACCAAGGGUUCCUGUCCAACGUUAAUCGGGGCAGGGUGAGUCGACCCCUAAGGCGAGGCCGAAAGGCGUAGUCGAUGGGAAACGGGUUAAUAUUCCCGUACUUGGUGUUACUGCGAAGGGGGGACGGAGAAGGCUAUGUUGGCCGGGCGACGGUUGUCCCGGUUUAAGCGUGUAGGUGUGUGUUCCAGGUAAAUCCGGUUCACUUUAACACUGAGGCGUGACGACGAGGCACUACGGUGCUGAAGCAACAAAUGCCCUGCUUCCAGGAAAAGCCUCUAAGCAUCAGGUAACAUCAAAUCGUACCCCAAACCGACACAGGUGGUCAGGUAGAGAAUACCAAGGCGCUUGAGAGAACUCGGGUGAAGGAACUAGGCAAAAUGGUGCCGUAACUUCGGGAGAAGGCACGCUGACACGUAGGUGAAGUGAUUUACUCAUGGAGCUGAAGUCAGUCGAAGAUACCAGCUGGCUGCAACUGUUUAUUAAAAACACAGCACUGUGCAAACACGAAAGUGGACGUAUACGGUGUGACGCCUGCCCGGUGCCGGAAGGUUAAUUGAUGGGGUCAGCGCAAGCGAAGCUCCUGAUCGAAGCCCCGGUAAACGGCGGCCGUAACUAUAACGGUCCUAAGGUAGCGAAAUUCCUUGUCGGGUAAGUUCCGACCUGCACGAAUGGCGUAAUGAUGGCCAGGCUGUCUCCACCCGAGACUCAGUGAAAUUGAACUCGCUGUGAAGAUGCAGUGUACCCGCGGCAAGACGGAAAGACCCCGUGAACCUUUACUAUAGCUUGACACUGAACAUUGAGCCUUGAUGUGUAGGAUAGGUGGGAGGCUUUGAAGUGUGGACGCCAGUCUGCAUGGAGCCGACCUUGAAAUACCACCCUUUAAUGUUUGAUGUUCUAACGUGGACCCGUUACCCGGGUUGCGGACAGUGUCUGGUGGGUAGUUUGACUGGGGCGGUCUCCUCCUAAAGAGUAACGGAGGAGCACGAAGGUUGGCUAAUCCUGGUCGGACAUCAGGAGGUUAGUGCAAUGGCAUAAGCCAGCUUGACUGCGAGCGUGACGGCGCGAGCAGGUGCGAAAGCAGGUCAUAGUGAUCCGGUGGUUCUGAAUGGAAGGGCCAUCGCUCAACGGAUAAAAGGUACUCCGGGGAUAACAGGCUGAUACCGCCCAAGAGUUCAUAUCGACGGCGGUGUUUGGCACCUCGAUGUCGGCUCAUCACAUCCUGGGGCUGAAGUAGGUCCCAAGGGUAUGGCUGUUCGCCAUUUAAAGUGGUACGCGAGCUGGGUUUAGAACGUCGUGAGACAGUUCGGUCCCUAUCUGCCGUGGGCGCUGGAGAACUGAGGGGGGCUGCUCCUAGUACGAGAGGACCGGAGUGGACGCAUCACUGGUGUUCGGGUUGUCAUGCCAAUGGCACUGCCCGGUAGCUAAAUUCGGAAGAGAUAAGUGCUGAAAGCAUCUAAGCACGAAACUUGCCCCGAGAUGAGUUCUCCCUGAGACUUAGAGUCUCCUGAAGGAACGUUGAAGACGACGACGUUGAUAGGCCGGGUGUGUA